Pecten maximus is the source of this 1533-nucleotide long non-coding RNA. RefSeq lists it as uncharacterized. NCBI's taxonomy places the organism in Eukaryota, Metazoa, Mollusca, Bivalvia, Pectinida, Pectinidae. The transcript has 2 exons. The record is from RefSeq and is a predicted model, not a curated record.
GUAUACUGUAUAACAACUAAAUACUGAGACAGUGACACACACACAGGGUCUGGGGUAUACUGUAUAACAACUAAAUACUGAGACAGUGACACACACACAGGGUCUGGGGUAUACUGUAUAACAACUAAAUACUGAGACAGUGACACACAGGGUCUGGGGUAUACUGUAUAACAACUAAAUACUGAGACAGUGACACACAGGGUCCGGGGUAUACUGUAUAACAACUAAAUACUGAGACAGUGACACACACAGGGUCUGGGGUAUACUGUAUAACAACUAAAUACUGAGACAGUGACACACACACAGGGUCUGGGGUAUACUGUAUAACAACUAAAUACUGAGACAGUGACACACAGGGUCUGGGGUAUACUGUAUAACAACUAAAUACUGAGACAGUGACACACACAGGGUCUGGGGUAUACUGUAUAACAACUAAAUACUGAGACAGUGACACACAGGGUCUGGGGUAUACUGUAUAACUACUAAAUACUGAGACAGUGACACACACACAGGGUCUGGGGUAUACUGUAUAACUGCUAAAUACUGAGACAGUGACACACACACAGGGUCUGGGGUAUACUGUAUAACUACUAAAUACUGAGACAGUGACACACAGGGUCUGGGGUUUACUGUAUAACUACUAAAUACUGAGACAGUGACACACACACAGGGUCUGGGGUAUACUGUAUAACAACUAAAUACUGAGACAGUGACACACACACACAGGGUCUGGGGUAUACUGUAUAACAACUAAAUACUGAGACAGUGACACACACAGGGUCUGGGGUAUACUGUAUAACUACUAAAUACUGAGACAGUGACACACACAGGGUCUGGGGUAUACUGUAUAACUACUAAAUACUGAGACCGUGACACACACACAGGGUCCGGGGUAUACUGUAUAACAACUAAAUACUGAGACAGUGACACACACACAGGGUCUGGGGUAUACUGUAUAACAACUAAAUACUGAGACAGUGACACACAGGGUCUGGGGUAUACUGUAUAACAACUAAAUACUGAGACAGUGACACACACACACAGGGUCUGGGGUAUACUGUAUAACAACUAAAUACUGAGACAGUGACACACAGGGUCUGGGGUAUACUGUAUAACAACUAAAUACUGAGACAGUGACACACACACAGGGUCUGGGGUAUACUGUAUAACUACUAAAUACUGAGACAGUGACACACACACAGGGUCUGGGGUAUACUGUAUAACUGCUAAAUACUGAGACAGUGACACACACACAGGGUCUGGGGUAUACUGUAUAACAACUAAAUACUGAGACAGUGACACACACACAGGGUCUGGGGUAUACUGUAUAACAACUAAAUACUGAGACAGUGACACACACACAGGGUCUGAGGUAUACUGUAUAACAACUAAAUACUGAGACAGUGACACACAGGGUCUGGGGUAUACUGUAUAACAACUAAAUACUGAGACAGUGACACACACAGGGUCUGGGGUAUACUGUAUAACAACUAAAUACUGAGACAGUGACACACACACAGGGUCUGAGGUAUA